Molecule: long non-coding RNA, 1337 nt
Filed under: Homo sapiens (human)
Lineage: Eukaryota; Metazoa; Chordata; Mammalia; Primates; Hominidae
Description: HSALNT0286365
Source: RNAcentral
CCCAUCUUCUGCGUCGCUCACACUGGGAGCUGUAGACCGGAGCUGUUCCUAUUCAGCCAUCUUGGCUCCUCCCUCCCAGGUAUUUCUUUAUAGCAGUGUGAGAACGGACUAAUACAAGGUGAGCAUGUAAGAAUCACUGGCCUUGAUACUGCAGGCUGAGAACUCUGGCAGCAACUUCCAUGACUUUUGCUCACCAAGCUCUUCCAACAGAUAUGUAGUCCUGGAGCUUGGAAGUCUGCGAUCAGGGUGCCAGCACGAUCAUUUCUGAAACACUUCGUUGAACUCCUCACACCACCAUUCCAGAAGUCCUGCCUGUCCAUGGGCCAUUUCUUAUAUAUAAGGAAGAAUGAUUCAGUGGAUACAACCAAGAACUCAGAGGGUGGAGCCAAGAGCUAAGAAGAAUCAUUCCCAGAGAUCAGGACUGGGCCGUGAUGAAAGAACUAGUGAUGGAUUUCAGAAUUGCUAUGGAAUGCUAUGUGUUUCCUUGUUCCCCUCCUUUGUGAACUGAAGUGUCUACUGUGAUUAUUAAGUUUCUAACUCACCAUUGUAUGUUGGGUAUGUGGGGGCAUAUAAUUUGUUUCUUUAUUUCAUAGGUCCUGAGAUCUAGAGGCUCUGUACUCAAGGAGCUUCACUUGAGGAGCCUCAUCUCCACCUAGACCUGAUUUAGCUGAUGAAAUCCUGGUCCUCAGAUCUAAUCCUGAUGUUAAAAUAGGCUGAGACUUCUGGGGGCCUUGGGGGAAGGUGAAUGUCUUUUGCAUGUGUGAGAAAUGUAAAUAAUUUAUGGCUAGAGAGGAGAGUGUGGUAGACUUAAAAUGGCUGCAAAUUCCUUGUGGCUCCUCCCAUUGAAUCUGGACUGGCUUUAGUCACUGCUUGACUAACAGAAUACAGUAUAUGUGAUGUUGUAGAAUUUUAGUCACAAGAUCACAAAAAACCUUGAUCUUCUGCCAGGGACUUUUUGAAUGCACCUGCCAUGCUGUGAGGAAGUCCAGGUAACCACAUGGAGAACCACACAGAGACAGAAUUUGAGAUCCCCAGCUGGCAGCCCUAGUGGAGCUCCUAGCUGACACCCAACACCAAUUUGCCAGUAAUGAAGAUAAUUCAUUCUGGAAGUGGAUACUCAGUUCCAGUGGAGGCAUCGGGUGACGCUGUGUAGCGCAGAAAUGAGCCAUCCCCACCCAAAUUGCAGACUUAUGAGUAAAAAUAAAUUACUGUUUUGAGCUACUGUUUUAGAGUGGUUUGUUAUGCAGCAUAAAUAACCAUAACGUUCCUUAACCUAGCAACUCCACAUCUAUAUGUCUACCUUAAAUAAACUCUUGUGAAUAAAAAAUAUGAAUGAG